This 585-nucleotide ribosomal RNA is filed under the name Leptotrichalus sp. UPOL A00061. Its description in RNAcentral is "partial 16S ribosomal RNA". It matches the Rfam family "Bacterial large subunit ribosomal RNA", at positions 1842 to 2714 of the family's 2925-position model. The record is from RNAcentral. Lineage: Eukaryota; Metazoa; Arthropoda; Insecta; Coleoptera; Lycidae.
AAUUUAAGGUCUGAUCUGCUCAAUGAUGUUUAAAUUGCCGCAGUAUUUUGACUGUGCAAAGGUAGCAUAAUAAUUAGUUUCUUGAUUAGGAACUGGAAUGAAUGAUUGGACAAGAAAAUUUCUGUCUCUUUUUUAAAUUUUUUGAAUUUUAUUUUUAAGUGAAAAAGCUUAAAUUUUUAUAAAAGACGAGAAGACCCUAUAGAGUUUAAUAAUAUAAGUUGAUUAAAUUUUAGAAAUAUAUUUUAAUUUUGUUUAUUUGGUUGGGGUGAUUUAAAGAUUAAAUAAAUUCUUUAAUUUUAUAAUUAGUGAUUUCUAAAUUUUAAAUCUAUAUAUAAUAAAUAUAAUAUAAAUUACCUUAGGGAUAACAGCGUAAUUUUUCUUUAAAGUUCUUAUUAAAAGUAAAGUUUGCGACCUCGAUGUUGGAUUAAAAUUAAUUUUUGGUGCAGUAACUAAAAAAUUAGGUCUGUUCGACCUUUAAAAUUUUACAUGAUCUGAGUUUAAACCGGUGUAAACCAGGUUGGAUUCUAUCUUUAGAAAUAUAUUAUAUUUUAGUACGAAAGGACCAAAUAUUUAUUAAAUUAAUUG